UGAGGAAUAUUGGACAAUGGGCGCAAGCCUGAUCCAGCAAUGCCGCGUGCAGGAUGAAGGCCUUCGGGUUGUAAACUGCUUUUGUACGGAACGAAAAAGCUUCUCCUAAUACGAGAGGCCCAUGACGGUACCGUAAGAAUAAGCACCGGCUAACUACGUGCCAGCAGCCGCGGUAAUACGUAGGGUGCAAGCGUUAAUCGGAAUUACUGGGCGUAAAGCGUGCGCAGGCGGUUAUGUAAGACAGAUGUGAAAUCCCCGGGCUCAACCUGGGAACUGCAUUUGUGACUGCAUGGCUAGAGUACGGUAGAGGGGGAUGGAAUUCCGCGUGUAGCAGUGAAAUGCGUAGAUAUGCGGAGGAACACCGAUGGCGAAGGCAAUCCCCUGGGCCUGCACUGACGCUCAUGCACGAAAGCGUGGGGAGCAAACAGGAUUAGAUACCCAGGUAGUCCCUGAGCGGGCUGGCAAGGCGCAU
Molecule: ribosomal RNA, 472 nt
Filed under: uncultured bacterium
Lineage: Bacteria
Description: bacterial SSU rRNA
Rfam family: Bacterial small subunit ribosomal RNA
Source: RNAcentral